AUUGGUGGUUUUGGUUUAUAGAUUUUGAAACAAUUUUCGUUCAUUUUAAAAUUGGUGGGUAAAAUUUUCUCAGAUAUUAAAAACCUUUAUUUAAAGUCCAAACAUAAAUCAAAUUUUUAGAUAUUUAAAAAUCUCCGCAAUUUUUACAAAAAUUUCGGUAGAGUGCCGCCUGUAUUUUAAGAAAACAGUUCUUCAAAACAUGAAAAUAAAAACACUCCCAAUAUUUUUCUCAAUCACAACCUCAUUUGCAACCACCAAACUUCAAAUCAGCAACAAUGGCAAUACUUCAACUCAAAAUCCAAAUUUCAAAUAAAAAUUAAUAACUCAAAACAUUUCAUAAACUCAUACACAUUGCAUUUUAAAUAUUUAAU
RNAcentral lists this unclassified non-coding RNA (371 nucleotides) under Hevea brasiliensis (rubber tree). The record is from RNAcentral. Lineage: Eukaryota; Viridiplantae; Streptophyta; Magnoliopsida; Malpighiales; Euphorbiaceae.